This 447-nucleotide ribosomal RNA is filed under the name uncultured bacterium. RNAcentral describes it as "bacterial SSU rRNA". It matches the Rfam family "Bacterial small subunit ribosomal RNA", at positions 329 to 793 of the family's 1533-position model. The record is from RNAcentral.
UCCCAGACUCCUACGGGAGGCAGCAGUGGGGAAUAUUGCACAAUGGGGGAAACCCUGAUGCAGCGACGCCGCGUGAGUGAAGAAGUAUCUCGGUACGUAAAGCUCUAUCAGCAGGGAAGAAAAUGACAGUACCUGACCAAGAAGCCCCGGCUAACUACGUGCCAGCAGCCGCGGUAAUACGUAGGGGGCAAGCGUUAUCCGGAUUUACUGGGUGUGAAGGGAGCGUAGACGGUUAUGUAAGUCUGGAGUGAAAGCCCGGGGCCCAACCCCCGGACUGCUUUGGAAACUGUAUGGCUGGAGUGCAGGAGAGGUAAGUGGAAUUCCUAGUGUAGCGGUGAAAUGCGUAGAUAUUAGGAGGAACACCAGUGGCGAAGGCGGCUUACUGGACUGUAACUGACGUUGAGGCUCGAAAGCGUGGGGAGCAAACAGGAUUAGAUACCCUGGUAU